Molecule: long non-coding RNA, 980 nt
Organism: Thunnus maccoyii (southern bluefin tuna)
Lineage: Eukaryota; Metazoa; Chordata; Actinopteri; Scombriformes; Scombridae
Exons: 2
Source: RefSeq, a predicted model, not a curated record
GUGUGUCUGUGUGUGUGUGAUUGUGUUCAGCUCAGCCUCUAAAUGAACUCAGAACUCACCAGAGACUCUGGUUCAUUCUGUUACUUUCCUCCUCUCCAUCUCCUUUUUCUUCUCUGUACAUUUAUGAAGCAGCUGCAGGGUACACCUGAAUUUUUCACUCAACUUGAAACAUUCUCAACUUGCACAGAAGCGUUUUCACUUCAGUUCACACUGUCGUGGGUAAAUCUUUGUCCUUCUGUUGACUUUGUAUGCAAUAGCGUUGCGUGUAAAAUUCUCUUUUUUGUUUUGUCUCCAGUCUUGUUUCAGUUACAUUCCUCACACCAGUUUCCACUGAAACUUCCACUGUUGUACUGUUUGAAAGUUAGGAAAACAUAAUGUAACCCCAACCAGCAGCACAUUUAGGAGGUUCCAACAUGUCAGGUCGUCUACCCCUCAUCCUCCUCUCCAUCCAAUGAAAAAUGUCAACUGCAAUCGACACCCAGACCUCCAGGAAGGAGGAGAGCUCCCCCGAGCAACUUAACUGCUGGCAGGGAGAGGUCUACGUCUUACGCCCUCCAUUCUCUCCUCAAAUCCCCGAGCAGGAGAGAACAAGAGGCGAAGUGGAUCCCGAGUUUCAUAUUUCAGCCUCCCUGUUCGACUCGCGACUCGUUAGUUUAAUUUACAGGAGAGCUGAGCGGCGUCUCUCCCUCUGUGACCAGUAGAGAGUUUUAUGUCAUCAAAGGCGUUUUAACAGCUGUCUGUCUGCAGUUCCUUCAUGCAAUCUGGGCUCACAAGCUGUACGACUGACUCAUCGAUUAAGGAAGGUGUCUGAAACUAAAAAGUCAAUCAAAAGAAAGGCAAAGUGUCUUCACAAGAAAAAAUAGAAAGUGCUAAACUACAUUUCAGCAGGAAAUUGUAGAUCUGGAUAUUGGUUCACAUUUAGAUUAAAGGUUUAAAUCAAUUUCUGUCAAAUAGUAAAAUUAAACCCAAUCUGAGUUCUC